This 433-nucleotide ribosomal RNA is filed under the name uncultured bacterium. Its description in RNAcentral is "bacterial SSU rRNA". It matches the Rfam family "Bacterial small subunit ribosomal RNA", at positions 29 to 507 of the family's 1533-position model. The record is from RNAcentral.
AACGAACGCUGGCGGCAGGCCUAACACAUGCAAGUCGAGCGAGAUUUUCGGAUCUAGCGGCGGACGGGUGAGUAACGCGUGGGAACGUGCCCUUUGCUACGGAAUAGCCCCGGGAAACUGGGAGUAAUUCCGUAUGUGCCCUACGGGGGAAAGAUUUAUCGGCAAAGGAUCGGCCCGCGUUGGAUUAGGUAGUUGGUGGGGUAAUGGCCUACCAAGCCGACGAUCCAUAGCUGGUUUGAGAGGAUGAUCAGCCCCCCUGGGACUGAGACCCGGCCCAGACUCCUACGGGAGGCAGCAGUGGGGAAUUUUAGACAAUGGGGGAAACCCUGAUCUAGCCAUGCCGCGUGAGCGAUGAAGGCCUUAGGGUUGUAAAGCUUUUUCAGCUGGGAAGAUAAUGACGGUACCAGCAGAAGAAGCCCCGGCUAACUCCGUG